UUCGGAGAGUGUAUAAAGUGGCGCACGGGUGAGUAACACGUAGGUAAUGUACCUUUNGGGUGGGGAACAACUUAGGGAAACUUAAGCUAAUACCGCAUAAUGCAGCGGCUCGACAUCGAGACAGUUGUUAAAGAUUUAUCGCCUAAAGAGCAGCCUGCGGCAGAUUAGCUAGUUGGUAAGGUAAUGGCUUACCAAGGCUACGAUCUGUAACCGACCUGAGAGGGUGGUCGGUCACACUGACACUGAAUAACGGGUCAGACUCCUACGGGAGGCAGCAGUCGGGAAUUUUGGGCAAUGGGCGAAAGCCUGACCCAGCAACGCCGCGUGAAGGAUGAAGUAUUUCGGUAUGUAAACUUCGUAAGAAUAGGAAGAAUAAAUGACGGUACUAUUUGUAAGGUCCGGCUAACUACGUGCCAGCAGCCGCGGUAAUACGUAGGGACCAAGCGUUGUUCGGAUUUACUGGGCGUAAAGGGCGCGUAGGCGGCGUGGUAAGUCAGCUGUGAAAUCUCCGAGCUUAACUCGGAACGGUCAGCUGAUACUGCUGUGCUAGAGUACAGAAAGGGCAAUCGGAAUUCUUGGGUGUAGCGGUGAAAUGCGUAGAUAUCAAGAGGAACACCUGAGGCGAAGGCGGGUUGCUAGGCUGAUACUGACGCUGAGGCGCGAAAGCUAGGGUAGCAAACGGGAUUAGAUACCCCGGUAGUCCUAGCCCUAAACGAUGAAUGCUU
RNAcentral lists this ribosomal RNA (725 nucleotides) under uncultured bacterium. Its description in RNAcentral is "bacterial SSU rRNA". It matches the Rfam family "Bacterial small subunit ribosomal RNA", at positions 78 to 818 of the family's 1533-position model. The record is from RNAcentral.